CCUACGGGAGGCAGCAGUGGGGGAUAUUGCACAAUGGGGGAAACCCUGAUGCAGCGACGCCGCGUGUGGGAAGACGGUCCUCUGGAUUGUAAACCACUUUCCUCAGGGACGAAGAUGACGGUACCUGGGGAGGAAGCUCCGGCAAACUACGUGCCAGCAGCCGCGGUAAUACGCGGGGAGCGAGCGUUGUCCGGAAUUACUGGGUGAAAGGGGACCGGAGGUGGGGAUGCAAUUUGGGUGGCAAGACUACCGGCUAAACUGGUAGUCGCACUCGAAACUGGAGCUCUUGAGUGAAGUAGAGGCGGGCGGAAUUCCUAGUGUAGCGGUGAAAUGCGUAGAUAUUAGGAGGAACACCAGUGGCGAAGGCGGCCUGCUGGGCUUUUACUGACGCUGAGGCUCGAAAGUGUGGGGAGCAAACAGGAUUAGAUACCCGGGUAGUC
This 440-nucleotide ribosomal RNA is filed under the name uncultured bacterium. RNAcentral describes it as "partial 16S ribosomal RNA". It matches the Rfam family "Bacterial small subunit ribosomal RNA", at positions 338 to 795 of the family's 1533-position model. The record is from RNAcentral.